UUCAAUUAAUAAUGUAUCUGAUCUAUAUUACACCAUUAAUUAAAUAAACCUAAAACAUCAAAAAUUGUUUAUAAUUGAUAACAUAGUUACAAAGCCUUAUGUUUUUACUUAUAAAUUCAAACAUUUUCUUUGUUGGUACAUUGUAAACAAUUAAAAACAUGGCUAAAAUUCUUAAAUACGUUCAUGUUAUGUUCAUCUUUCUAUCUCUAUUUCUUGUUGUAACCGACGCUAGUACUUCUUCCUUCGUCAUAAACUAGUUCUAGAAGUUGUUAUGACUCACUUUAAUCUAGAAGGAUUUAGAAGAUAUAUUGUUAGGGGAUAAUAUUGAGUAUGUUAGAGUGCACUUAUCUUAAUAUGAGUAUGCAUAAGUCUAUAUAAGUAUUGUAUACUUCUCCCGUUUCUAAAUAUAAGCAAAUUUUACUUUUUAGAUUCAUUCAAUUAUGAACCACAUACAUCAUUAAUGGAAUGAAUCUAAAAAUAAAAUUUGUUUAUAUUUAAGAACGGAGGGAGUAUCUUAUUAUGAGAAUCAAUGAAAAAUAUAAUGAAUUUUCUUUCUUUUAUCUCUAGUUUUCUCUCUUAAUUUCUGGAGUGUGAUCCCUACUCGAAUUGGAUCGUAUCAUAAUGCUACUACAAUUAUGAUUUUUGGUACACUUUAAUUUAUGUUUAUGAAAGAUUUCCAUAUUGUAGACAAGCUCAUAAGAAUGUUAAUAGACAAACCCCCAUAUUAUAGUUGUCGUUUGACAACAUAAUAUUAUAAAAAUAUAGUUUGUGGGGAUUAUAAAAAUAUUCUUAUUACCAUUAUUCACUCAUAUAAGUAUAAGCUCAUAAGAAUUUUAUAGACAAACCCUAUAUUAUAAUUGUCUUUUGACAAAAUAAUAUUAUAAAAAUAUUGUUUUUGUGGGGAUUAUAAAAAUAUUCUUAUUACCAUUAUUCACUCAUUUAAAAAUAUUGAGAAAAACGUCAUUCCAUAAUUCCUCUAAAAAAGAAAACACAUUCCUUAGUUAUAGUGUAUAUGUUCGCUCAUGAAUUGAAUUAUAAAAUAGAUCACACUUAAUUUGAACAAGAUAAACAAAAUGAUAAACAUUCUAUCCUUUUUCAGUAGAACUAAUUAAUAUUAUUUAUUUGGAAAAUUAAAGGUUUUUAUUUUUUUAUUUUUUUUGUAACAAAGUUUGUUUUUGUUACUUGCAAAUUUAAAUUUCCAUGAAAGACAGGAUAUGAAAGUUUUUGUUACCUAUAAGGUGUGUUUGAUAUACUAAAAAAUGAAGGAUAAAACAUGACAACUUCAGUUGUAUAAUGUUUGAUUUGUAAAACUCUUUAGGGAUAGAACAAAUUGAUGGCAAAGAACAUAACAAAAAGCAUAUAAGACUAGAUAUUAUUCAAUACUAUAAAAUUUUGUUACGUGUUGUUCUGUCUUAUUUUGUGCUAUAUAUUUUGUUUUGAGGAUCUGUCCGGUUGUUACUGUUUAACAUAUCAAACACACCCAUCAUAAUGGUUUCUUGUGUAGUUAAAAUUCUAUUAUUAAGAUCAAUAACAUUGUUAAAAGUCUCAAGUGCAAAAUAUAAUAACAAUUCUAAUGAAAAUAACAAAAGACUUCGUUAAUGUUACUUCAAAAAAUAAGACUUCAUUAAUGUUAAAAAAAGAGUGAUAGAGAGAGGAUCCAUCAAUUUAUUUAUUUAUUGUUUUUGGUGAAAUGACCCAUCAAUUUUAUCAGUGAAAUAAGUGUAUGUAAAAAAAUAAUGAAUUUAUUGGAGAGAGGGCGUAAUGUAUCACAAUUAUUUAUUAUUGGAGAAAAGAUUAGACAUCAAAGUUAUUUGAAAGAAAGAGUGAAUGCGAAAAGAAAAAAAAUUAUUGAUGGAUUAGAAUGAGGGUAUAAUAAAAAAAACAAAAAAGUACACUUCAUUAAUUUGAGGGUGUUAUUCUAAAAUGACACGUAAAAAGAAAUAGAUGAAAUAUAAUUAUCCUAGUAAAUAGAUUUUCAAUGAGAAGCUCGUUUUAUUCAUUUUGAGAUGGAAAAGAUAAACAAAAUAUUAAAAUAAAAAAUUGAGGUUGUACCAUGUUAAACUUGUAAAUAGAACUGAGAAAUAGUUAACUUGUGCAACAAGUUAACUUGAUAUGCAAGCUUCUGCAUAAGUUAGACAUUAGAAUAAUGACAGCUAUGAGUUAGUUAGGAUUAUACACAUAACACACAUUCUCUUUUCUUCCUAGCUUCUGCAAUUUCUAUGGUUUUCAUUAUGUUGAUGAUGAACUUCAUGACAGUAUCAGAGCUAAUGCCGCCGCGAACGGUGAUGGAAAUUUGAUUCCUCUAAUUCUUGAUCAUUAUGAACAACCUAGUACUGUUUAUCAUGUUCAUCUUUUUGAUAGUCCCUCUUAUGUUGCAGUCACUCCAAUUUUAACACAUCCGAAUUGUCAUGCUAGGGCUCGAUCCAUGAGACGAGCUUUUGGAGCGAAGAGCAAAUUUGAUUUUGUUGAUGGUUCUAUACAUGUUUCUACGGGGUUUGAUCCAAGUUUCAAGUCUUGGAAUCGCUGCAAUAUGCUUGUUCAUUUGUGGAUAAUGAACUAUCUUGAUGAAUCAAUUGCGCACCACAUAGUUUUUCUGGAAAAUGCAAUUGACGUUUGGAAUGAGCUAAAGCAAAAAUUUUCGUAAGGUGAUUAUAAGAAACACGGCUGAAGUUUGCUAUAAGAAACAUGAUUUUCCUCCUCAUGCUAUCUACAUUAGGACUUGUUUGGGACUUUUGAAAGUUAAAGGACCACUUUGGGAAAAACGAAAAACUUAAAAGACCUUUAGAUGCAUUUGACCUUAAUAUUUCAAUAAGUUGAAUACAGAAUUUCCAAGAUAAAGUUUAUACUUCCAGUUUCUUUCUAUAUAUAUAGUUUAUUUUUUAAAAUCUAUAAGGAGAAUCCAUGCUGAUAGAACGCAUAUCUGUAUGAGACAUAAAUUCUGCAGUUUCACUUAUUAAGAUGCUCUCUUCUUGA
RNA transcript from Medicago truncatula (barrel medic), 2973 nucleotides. RefSeq lists it as uncharacterized. NCBI's taxonomy places the organism in Eukaryota, Viridiplantae, Streptophyta, Magnoliopsida, Fabales, Fabaceae. The record is from RefSeq and is a predicted model, not a curated record. The transcript is spliced from 2 exons.